Molecule: long non-coding RNA, 318 nt
Filed under: Pelobates cultripes (western spadefoot toad)
Lineage: Eukaryota; Metazoa; Chordata; Amphibia; Anura; Pelobatidae
Source: RNAcentral
AAGAAAUGUGCUGAAUAAUAAAAUGUGUAUUUACUAAAAGAACCUUGAAGCUAACAAUACUAACUACUCAAAAUGGCUGCCAAAGCACCCCUCCCAUCCAGUGAACACCUCGUGCUAACAAGAUGGCGCCUACAUCUUGUGUCCACUCCCGUGUCAAGGAUGACAUCACCUCUUGAUAGGAAGGCAUCUAACUAACCACUUAACACCUGGACCAAUCAAUAGUGUUUAUUUGCUGUUAUCUUGAAUUCUUCAGUGAUGUAAAAAUGCCUUUAUAAGGGUCUGCGCACCCAUUUUCUGUUAGAAGCCAUUAAACUUUUC